RNAcentral lists this ribosomal RNA (274 nucleotides) under uncultured bacterium. Its description in RNAcentral is "partial 16S ribosomal RNA". It matches the Rfam family "Bacterial small subunit ribosomal RNA", at positions 523 to 796 of the family's 1533-position model. The record is from RNAcentral.
AUACGGAGGGUGCAAGCGUUAUUCGGAAUCACUGGGCGUAAAGGGUGCGUAGGCGGUUUGGUAAGUCUGAUGUGAAAUCCUAUGGCUCAACCAUAGAACUGCAUUGGAAACUACUAAACUAGAAUACUGAAGGGGCAGAUGGAAUUAGUGGUGUAGGGGUAAAAUCCGUAGAUAUCACUAGGAAUACCGAAAGCGAAAGCGAUCUGCUGGGAAGUUAUUGACGCUGAGGCACGAAAGCGUGGGGAGCAAACGGGAUUAGAAACCCCGGUAGUCC